This 25-nucleotide unclassified non-coding RNA is filed under the name Mus musculus (house mouse). RNAcentral's name for it is "oocyte_clustered_small_RNA13835". The record is from RNAcentral. Lineage: Eukaryota; Metazoa; Chordata; Mammalia; Rodentia; Muridae.
UGAUAUAAUAGCAAGUUCAGGCCAG